RNAcentral lists this ribosomal RNA (492 nucleotides) under uncultured bacterium. RNAcentral's name for it is "partial 16S ribosomal RNA". It matches the Rfam family "Bacterial small subunit ribosomal RNA", at positions 29 to 507 of the family's 1533-position model. The record is from RNAcentral.
AGUGAACGCUGGCGGUAGGCCUAACACAUGCAAGUCGAACGGCAGCACAGUAAGAGCUUGCUCUUACGGGUGGCGAGUGGCGGACGGGUGAGGAAUACAUCGGAAUCUACUUUUUCGUGGGGGAUAACGUAGGGAAACUUACGCUAAUACCGCAUACGACCUACGGGUGAAAGCAGGGGAUCUUCUGACCUUGCGCGAUUGAAUGAGCCGAUGUCGGAUUAGCUAGUUGGCGGGGUAAAGGCCCACCAAGGCGACGAUCCGUAGCUGGUCUGAGAGGAUGAUCAGCCACACUGGAACUGAGACACGGUCCAGACUCCUACGGGAGGGAGCAGUGGGGAAUAUUGGACAAUGGGCGCAAGCCUGAUCCAGCCAUACCGCGUGGGUGAAGAAGGCCUUCGGGUUGUAAAGCCCUUUUGUUGGGAAAGAAAAGCAGCAGGUUAAUACCCCGCUGUUCUGACGGUACCCAAAGAAUAAGCACCGGCUAACUUCGUG